This 211-nucleotide unclassified non-coding RNA is filed under the name Hevea brasiliensis (rubber tree). Lineage: Eukaryota; Viridiplantae; Streptophyta; Magnoliopsida; Malpighiales; Euphorbiaceae. The record is from RNAcentral.
AAUGUUUACAGAACUAAAUACCAGGUACUUGAGUGAAUAUGCCAAGCUCCCAACAGGUAACAGCAUUUCUAUCCAGAAUGACUGAAUAAUCACUACUUAUACAUAUCUGAAAUUCAUUAAUGAGAUAUGAACAUGGACAUAAUUAUUAGGGCUUACAUCAUUUGGAAUCUUACACUUGGAUGAUAUACAGAAAGAACAAGGUGGAAGCAUA